This 1020-nucleotide ribosomal RNA is filed under the name Alternaria infectoria. RNAcentral describes it as "SSU rRNA". It matches the Rfam family "Eukaryotic small subunit ribosomal RNA", at positions 75 to 1104 of the family's 1831-position model. Lineage: Eukaryota; Fungi; Ascomycota; Dothideomycetes; Pleosporales; Pleosporaceae. RNAcentral also lists the same sequence under 8 other names. The record is from RNAcentral.
UAUACCGUGAAACUGCGAAUGGCUCAUUAAAUCAGUUAUCGUUUAUUUGAUAAUACCUUACUACUUGGAUAACCGUGGUAAUUCUAGAGCUAAUACAUGCUGAAAAUCCCGACUUCGGAAGGGAUGUGUUUAUUAGAUAAAAAACCAAUGCCCUUCGGGGCUCCUUGGUGAUUCAUGAUAACUUUACGGAUCGCAUAGCCUUGCGCUGGCGACGGUUCAUUCAAAUUUCUGCCCUAUCAACUUUCGAUGGUAAGGUAUUGGCUUACCAUGGUUUCAACGGGUAACGGGGAAUUAGGGUUCGAUUCCGGAGAGGCAGCCUGAGAAACGGCUACCACAUCCAAGGAAGGCAGCAGGCGCGCAAAUUACCCAAUCCCGACACGGGGAGGUAGUGACAAUAAAUACUGAUACAGGGCUCUUUUGGGUCUUGUAAUUGGAAUGAGUACAAUUCAAAUCUCUUAACGAGGAACAAUUGGAGGGCAAGUCUGGUGCCAGCAGCCGCGGUAAUUCCAGCUCCAAUAGCGUAUAUUAAAGUUGUUGCAGUUAAAAAGCUCGUAGUUGAAACUUGGGCCUGGCUGGCGGGUCCGCCUCACCGCGUGCACUCGUCCGGCCGGGCCUUCCUUCUGAAGAACCUCAUGCCCUUCACUGGGCGUGCUGGGGAAUCAGGACUUUUACUUUGAAAAAAUUAGAGUGUUCAAAGCAGGCCUUUGCUCGAAUACGUUAGCAUGGAAUAAUAAAAUAGGGCGUGCGUUUCUAUUUUGUUGGUUUCUAGAGACGCCGCAAUGAUUAACAGGAACAGUCGGGGGCAUCAGUAUUCAGUUGUCAGAGGUGAAAUUCUUGGAUUUACUGAAGACUAACUACUGCGAAAGCAUUUGCCAAGGAUGUUUUCAUUAAUCAGUGAACGAAAGUUAGGGGAUCGAAGACGAUCAGAUACCGUCGUAGUCUUAACCGUAAACUAUGCCGACUAGGGAUCGGGCGAUGUUCUUUUUCUGACUCGCUCGGCACCUUACGAGAAAUCAAAGU